This 68-nucleotide transfer RNA is filed under the name Yuhina gularis. RNAcentral describes it as "tRNA-Phe". Lineage: Eukaryota; Metazoa; Chordata; Aves; Passeriformes; Timaliidae. The record is from RNAcentral.
GUUCUUGUAGCUUACACAAAGCAUGGCACUGAAGAUGCCAAGACGGCUGCUACACACACCCAAGAACA